CCUACGGGGGGCAGCAGUGAGGAAUAUUGGUCAAUGGACGAGAGUCUGAACCAGCCAAGUAGCGUGAAGGAUGACUGCCCUAUGGGUUGUAAACUUCUUUUAUAAAGGAAUAAAACGAGGCACGUGUGCCUUUUUGCAUGUACUUUAUGAAUAAGGAUCGGCUAACUCCGUGCCAGCAGCCGCGGUAAUACGGAGGAUCCGAGCGUUAUCCGGAUUUAUUGGGUUUAAAGGGAGCGUAGAUGGGUUGUUAAGUUAGUUGUGAAAGUUUGCGGCUCAACCGUGAAAUUGCAAUUGAUACUGGCAGUCUUGAGUACAGUUGAGGUAGGCGGAAUUCGUGGUGUAGCGGUGAAAUGCUUAGAUAUCACGAAGAACCCCGAUUGCGAAGGCAGCUUACUAAACUGUGACUGACAUUGAUGCUCGAAAGUGUGGGGAUCAAACAGGAUUAGAUACCCGGGUAGUC
RNAcentral lists this ribosomal RNA (460 nucleotides) under uncultured bacterium. RNAcentral describes it as "partial 16S ribosomal RNA". It matches the Rfam family "Bacterial small subunit ribosomal RNA", at positions 338 to 795 of the family's 1533-position model. The record is from RNAcentral.